UGGUGGAUAGCAAUAGGUGCGUGUCGCACCUAAUACUUUAUUUCUUUGAUCUGUUUUGGGUUGGUUUUAUAGGGGAGCUAGUACAGAUAUACUAUAUAGUAGUACCUAAACUAUCUAGUACAAGCCGACUCGGCCAGGGCUACUAGUCCGGACCAGACUCUCAUGCCUAAUCGUGAUUAGUUCCAACAAAGUUCACAUUCCUGGUCGAAUUUUGAAAAAUAAGAUGUUACGUGUGUAAAAGUUCGAAGAGAGAUGAUUCUCAAAAAAAAAAGUUCAAAGAGAGAUUAUUUUCCUGCUCACGGGGAACAAUAAUGAGUUGUUAGUUUUUUGAAUUCGAAUGAGGUAUUCCACGUCAUUUUUUCGUUUGCUUUCAUUUGAUUCACAUUCCUAGUCGAAUUUUGAACACAAAAUGUGUGUAAACAGUUUGAAGAAAGGUAUUUUCUUUCUCACUGGGAACAAUAGUGAUUAUGCUGUAGGUAUUCCACAUCAUUUUUUAGUUGGAUAUAGGUGUUCCUCAUCAUUUUUUAGUAUGAUUUCAUUGUUGCUAAUUAAUAUUACUACUAUAUUUAUUUGUACUGUAUGAUGUGCUACCCUGCUAAGGUCUUCUCUUCCAUGCAUGGUGUGAUGAUGUAUGGCUUUUGCUUUCGAUUCUUGAGAUAGCUUUCCUCAUGGUUCUGUGAUCUUUGUGCUAUUCUUUAAUUUCUUGAGGCUGCUUUUAUUGUUAGAUUAACGUGAGAAAUGAACCAGCACGAGUGGUUCUGAUGAACUCCCUGAUAUUGGUUUGUAGGGAAUGAUGGUGGAUGUCAGUUCCUAUUGAUUAAUUGGGCUAGCUUUGUGAGGACAACAAUGGAGUGCUGCAAGCAGAUGUCUACCAAUAUAUACAAGUCACAACAGAUGGAGAUGAAUUGUUAGCUGGACGCAUCUUCGCUUCUUGUGCCACCUGAUUCCAUCUACCCUUGGUGAACAUUCAAUUCAUUAUCUCACCUUGUUUUUGAUGUGCUAUUAUAAUAAGGGUUGGUGCUGGGCAGGAGUUUGCAGUGUGAUAGAUGGUUGCUUGCCCCUUCCUCCCAGCUUCUCCAGCCUCCGAAUUAUCUUGUUCAUUUAUCUUGGUGUGCUUACUCUGUAUUGAACUGAACAUUCCUUGUUUCAAGAUUUAACUUGUUGAAAACACAAUUUAUUCGAGAUGCAUUGUAAUUUUCUCAGUUCUACUGUAACUUUGUGAUGAAAUGUUGUUUCACUCAUUUCGUUGGAGGUUGUAGCACCUGUCCUGCAUCACAAGGGCAUCAUCGCACUAGGUGUCAGGAUAACUUAGCUGAGUUACUUGAUGUAAUUUUGGCUGCGCUAUAUGCUGCGAGAAACACCAGGUAGGUACAUAUGUAAAUUUCCGAUCACUCUUGGUAAUGUUUUAAAAAGGGG
RNAcentral lists this long non-coding RNA (1416 nucleotides) under Triticum aestivum (bread wheat). Its description in RNAcentral is "long non-coding RNA (TAES_LNC023446)". The record is from RNAcentral. Lineage: Eukaryota; Viridiplantae; Streptophyta; Magnoliopsida; Poales; Poaceae.